RNAcentral lists this ribosomal RNA (400 nucleotides) under uncultured bacterium. RNAcentral describes it as "bacterial SSU rRNA". It matches the Rfam family "Bacterial small subunit ribosomal RNA", at positions 356 to 773 of the family's 1533-position model. The record is from RNAcentral.
GGGGAAUAUUGCACAAUGGGCGAAAGCCUGAUGCAGCAACGCCGCGUGAGUGAAGAAGGUUUUCGGAUUGUAAAGCUCUGUCAUCUGGGACGAUAAUGACGGUACCAGAUGAGGAAGCCACGGCUAACUACGUGCCAGCAGCCGCGGUAAUACGUAGGUGGCAAGCGUUGUCCGGAUUUACUGGGCGUAAAGGAUGUGUAGGCGGAUAUUUAAGUGAGAUGCGAAAUCCCCGGGCUUAACUUGGGGGCUGCAUUUCAAACUGGAUAUCUAGAGUGCAGGAGAGGAAAGUAGAAUUCCUAGUGUAGCGGUGAAAUGCGUAGAGAUUAGGAAGAAUACCAGUGGCGAAGGCGACUUUCUGGACUGUAACUGACACUGAGGCUCGAAAGCGUGGGGAGCAAAC